GGAAGGGAUACUCUUCGCUCAUAUCAUUCACAGCACAGAGACCAAAUGGAUGGCAAUGGUUCCAUAAACAAUGAACUGCACGGAAAGGGCAUUACAGAUAUUGCGUUCUCAAGGCUUGUAGAUUCAAGGAGGUCCCGGGAGAUAAAGUUUCGUCCAAUACCCCCAGCUGCAACCUCUUCAUUGGUUGGAGGCACUGAAUUCAAAAGUUUACCAGUCCAUGGUUAUUAAAACCAAAAGCGCAGCUCGGAAGCUCUCCUGCGUAGGUAUAAGCAAGAAAGGACAGCCCAUUUUGCAGUUUUCCUUUGACCAAAUAGCUACGAAAGUGGAGAAACAAAUGAACAAGUCCGGUGGGCUGGUUUAUAAUCGUGGGAUAAAAUUCAGGUUUGUGAACCACUUACGUGUGGCCAACCAGAGCAACGUUGGCAUCUUCAUUAUGUGCUGCAAUGGCCAUGUUUUCACUAACAACAAGAAGAUCAGAGCAAUCAUCUGAACAAUCAACUGCUAAAGCUACUUCCCUGUGAAGAAAUGGAAGUAUCUCCUUCCUGAAGUUGAUCAAAAUAAUCUGCAUAUUGAUUUUCAACGAAGAUAUCACAGACAGAACAGAAAACCAGAGAGCUUCAAUGAGAGGCUGGGACUGAGGGGCUUGAGCAAAAGGAAGGAGCUGGUCACGAAGAACAAGGUCUUUGUCCAAUCUGCUCUUUA
Molecule: long non-coding RNA, 702 nt
Organism: Cucurbita maxima (winter squash)
Lineage: Eukaryota; Viridiplantae; Streptophyta; Magnoliopsida; Cucurbitales; Cucurbitaceae
Exons: 4
Source: RefSeq, a predicted model, not a curated record